This 251-nucleotide ribosomal RNA is filed under the name uncultured prokaryote. RNAcentral's name for it is "partial 16S ribosomal RNA". It matches the Rfam family "Bacterial small subunit ribosomal RNA", at positions 524 to 774 of the family's 1533-position model. The record is from RNAcentral.
UACAGAGGUGGCUAGCGUUGUUCGGAAUUACUGGGCGUAAAGGGCUCGUAGGCGGCCAACUAAGUCAUACGUGAAAUCCCUCAGCUUAACUGGGGAACUGCGUGUGAUACUGGAUGGCUUGGAUUUGGGAGAGGGAUGCGGAAUUCCAGGUGUAGCGGUGAAAUGCGUAGAUAUCUGGAGGAACACCGGUGGCGAAGGCGGCAUCCUGGACCAAUAUUGACGCUGAGGAGCGAAAGCUAGGGGAGCAAACG